AGGCGACGAUCAGUAGCCGGCCUGAGAGGGCGACCGGCCACAUUGGGACUGAGACACGGCCCAAACUCCUACGGGAGGCAGCAGUGGGGAAUAUUGCACAAUGGGGGAAACCCUGAUGCAGCGACGCCGCGUGAGUGAAGAAGUAUUUCGGUAUGUAAAGCUCUAUCAGCAGGGAAGAAGAAAGACGGUACCUGACUAAGAAGCCCCGGCUAACUACGUGCCAGCAGCCGCGGUAAUACGUAGGGGGCAAGCGUUAUCCGGAUUUACUGGGUGUAAAGGGAGCGUAGACGGCUGUGCAAGUCUGAAGUGAAAGCCCAGGGCUCAACCCUGGGACUGCUUUGGAAACUGUGGAGCUAGAGUGCUGGAGAGGUAAGUGGAAUUCCUAGUGUAGCGGUGAAAUGCGUAGAUAUUAGGAGGAACACCAGUGGCGAAGGCGGCUUACUGGACAGUAACUGACGUUGAGGCUCGAAAGCGUGGGGAGCAAACAGGAUUAGAUACCCUGGUAGUCCACGCGGUAAACGAUGAAUACUAGGUGUUGGAGAGCAAAGCUUUUCG
Molecule: ribosomal RNA, 555 nt
Filed under: uncultured bacterium
Lineage: Bacteria
Description: bacterial SSU rRNA
Rfam family: Bacterial small subunit ribosomal RNA
Source: RNAcentral